CCUACGGGAGGCAGCAGUGAGGAAUAUUGGUCAAUGGCCGGAAGGCUGAACCAGCCAUGCCGCGUGAAGGUCAGUGCCCUAUGGGCGUUAAACUUCUUUUGUGCGGGAGCAAUAAUGGUCACGUGUGGCCAGACGAGAGUACCGUACGAAUAAGCAUCGGCUAACUCCGUGCCAGCAGCCGCGGUAAGACGGGGGAUGCAAGCGUUAUCCGGAUUUAUUGGGUGUAAAGGGUGCGUAGGCUGUGAGGUAAGUCAGAGUUGAAAUGCCCACGCUCAACGGGGUGAAGUGCCAUUGAUACUGUCUGGCUGGAAUGCGGAUGACGUGGGAGGAAUGUGUGGUGUAGCGGUGAAAUGCAUAGAUAUCACACAGAACACCGAUUGCGAAGGCAGCUAACGAAUCCGCGAUUGACGCUGAUGCACGAAAGCGUGGGUAUCAAACAGGAUUAGAUACCCUUGUAGUC
This 460-nucleotide ribosomal RNA is filed under the name uncultured bacterium. RNAcentral describes it as "partial 16S ribosomal RNA". It matches the Rfam family "Bacterial small subunit ribosomal RNA", at positions 338 to 795 of the family's 1533-position model. The record is from RNAcentral.